RNAcentral lists this unclassified non-coding RNA (318 nucleotides) under Hevea brasiliensis (rubber tree). Lineage: Eukaryota; Viridiplantae; Streptophyta; Magnoliopsida; Malpighiales; Euphorbiaceae. The record is from RNAcentral.
CGAUCAGCCCAUUAAAAACCAAUAGCAUAUUUAAAAUCAGCCCAUUACUCUAACUUAGUAUAUAGUCGCAUUAGUAGAGAAAGAAGCCAUGUACAUCUCUUUUAACAAUCACUUUCAGCACGGCGGAGGUGUGGAGCAGACCUCACUGGGGCACGCCUAGCACCUUGGUGAACAUGGCGAUGCUUAGGUCGGUGUGACAUAUAGGAGGAAGAGAUUUGGACAUAAGAAGAGUGAAUACUUUGGAGAGAAAAGCAGUUAGGGAGUUAUUGAAGCUUGUAGAAAGAGAUGAUUCUUAUUGAUUUCAAUUAAUCUGUACAU